AAGUCGUAACAAGGUUUCCGUAGGUGAACCUGCGGAAGGAUCAUUAGCGAAGUUCGGAAUGCCGGUUCGGUGCUGCAGCUGCCCAGCCGAUGGGAUGUGCUCGUCCGGGCCGGUGUCCCUUCUCUAUUCCACCCCACUGUGAACCAAGCGUGCGAGCAGAAGAGAGAUCGGAAGCUCGCAUGCACACUUUAACAUACCCCUUAUGAAGUAUCUGAAUGUACCUUGCGUUAACUCGCACAAAUACAACUUUCAACAACGGAUCUCUUGGCUCUC
Molecule: unclassified non-coding RNA, 273 nt
Filed under: Peniophora laxitexta
Lineage: Eukaryota; Fungi; Basidiomycota; Agaricomycetes; Russulales; Peniophoraceae
Description: partial internal transcribed spacer region
Rfam family: Eukaryotic small subunit ribosomal RNA (bases 1-46)
Source: RNAcentral